Molecule: non-coding RNA, 28 nt
Filed under: Mus musculus (house mouse)
Lineage: Eukaryota; Metazoa; Chordata; Mammalia; Rodentia; Muridae
Source: RNAcentral
UCACAGAAACUUUUGCCAGACUGCUGCU